GGGCGUAAGAGCUCGUAGGUGGUUUGUCGCGUUGUCCGUGAAAACUCACAGCUUAACUGUGGGCGUGCGGGCGAUACGGGCAGACUGGAGUACUGCAGGGGAGACUGGAAUUCCUGGUGUAGCGGUGGAAUGCGCAGAUAUCAGGAGGAACACCGGUGGCGAAGGCGGGUCUCUGGGCAGUAACUGACGCUGAGGAGCGAAAGCGUGGGGAGCGAACAGGAUUAGAUACCCUGGUAGUCCACGCCGUAAACGGUGGGUACUAGGUGUGGGUUUCCUUCCUUGGGAUCCGUGCCGUAGCUAACGCAUUAAGUACCCCGCCUGGGGAGUACGGCCGCAAGGCUAAAACUCAAAGGAAUUGACGGGGGCCCGCACAAGCGGCGGAGCAUGUGGAUUAAUUCGAUGCAACGCGAAGAACCUUACCUGGGUUUGACAUGCACAGGACGCGUCUAGAGAUAGGCGUUCCCUUGUGGCCUGUGUGCAGGUGGUGCAUGGCUGUCGUCAGCUCGUGUCGUGAGAUGUUGGGUUAAGUCCCGCAACGAGCGCAACCCUUGUCUCAUGUUGCCAGCGCGUUAUGGCGGGGACUCGUGAGAGACUGCCGGGGUCAACUCGGAGGAAGGUGGGGGAUGACGUCAAGUCAUCAUGCCCCUUAUGUCCAGGGCUUCACACAUGCUACAAUGGCCGGUACAAAGGGCUGCGAUGCCGUGAGGUGGAGCGAAUCCUUUCAAAGCCGGUCUCAGUUCGGAUCGGGGUCUGCAACUCGACCCCGUGAAGUCGGAGUCGCUAGUAAUCGCAGAUCAGCAACGCUGCGGUGAUACGUUCCCGGCUUGUACACACCGCCCGUC
This 842-nucleotide ribosomal RNA is filed under the name uncultured bacterium. RNAcentral describes it as "bacterial SSU rRNA". It matches the Rfam family "Bacterial small subunit ribosomal RNA", at positions 556 to 1398 of the family's 1533-position model. The record is from RNAcentral.